AUGAAGGCCAACUGGAUCAUCCUCAUCCACCACACUGGUAGUCCAUGGCGUCUCGUGGAUAUCUACACCCAGCGAGAGAUCACCCUUCCAUCGUUGGAUACCGCCGACAUCGAGCCUCGCGGCCCGCCGGACACUCCUGCCUACUACGCACGAGACGCUAGACGCAAAUGCGCUGGCCUUCAUGAUUCCAGGACCUGGAAUCAUACCAGCCGAUGGGUGCUGAGAUUCAUCGACACAGCUUGUUGCCAGUCGAAGAAGGAUUGGCCGGUGCUGCCGGCUGGCGUCAAGUUCGAUCCCACGGAUCAGGAGCUGAUCGAGCACCUUGAGGCCAAAGUGAGUGUUGACAGCGCGAGAUUUCAGUCUCUCAUCGAUUUGUUCAUACUAACCAUCGACAGCGAGCACGACAUAUGCUACACCCAACCUGAGAAACUUCCAGGUAUCACACUGAGUGGCCUAAGGAAGCAUUUCUUCCAGCGCAAUUCCAGGGCGUUCAAAAGGGGCACGUGGACGCAUCGCAAGAUACAACGGGCAGCAAAAAAGGUUCUGGUGCUGCACACCAACAAGAACUUCGACCAGCAGAGGACCAACUGGGUGAUGCACCAGUACCACAUCGGGGACCUGGAGACGGAGAAGGAGCGGGAGCUAGUCCUCUGCAAGAUUUUCUACCAGACGAACACUAGGGCCAGGAGUAGUUUGGUAUUCGUAGUUGUACUACCUUGUCGUCCGCAAGUUGGUAUUGUUGUUAACGAUCUUUUGGUCGAGCAAGUUUCAACUGGGCUAUAG
This 783-nucleotide ribosomal RNA is filed under the name Triticum aestivum (bread wheat). RNAcentral's name for it is "partial small subunit ribosomal RNA". The record is from RNAcentral. Lineage: Eukaryota; Viridiplantae; Streptophyta; Magnoliopsida; Poales; Poaceae.